UGUUUUUGUUCAAUAAACACCCAGUCUGGGAAUCGAAACUGAUCCUACAGCUGCAUGUCUGCUGCCCUAACCACUGGGACAUUGUUCCUCCAUGUGUGUGUGUAUAUGUGUAUGUAUAAAUAACUGGUCAGAUUGGCUGACAGUACUGCAGAGGGCCACCACAAUUAGUGGUGGCCCCAGUUAGGUUCCCUUGAGAAUUGGUGUCUCUUCAAAGAGCACCAUUUCCUAUAACUGUCUGACUCCUUCCCUUCAGGAAAACAUGCAGCCACUCUCCUACUUUCCCAGUAAUACAAAGGUUUCGCAGCUUGUGACAUAUGCCUUGAUCAACCUUGUCGAAAGCAUUGGCAAAGUUGAGGUAUAUCAUGUCUAUAGCUGACUGGUUUAGCUGUUGCUUCAAUACCCAGCUAAAGUGCUGCAGCAACUGUGAGGCAGCUUCUCCCUGGACGAGUGCCAUGUUUCUAGUAGAAACAUGAUCAGCCUUUUUCUGACUGUUUUAUGUGAGGUUAGGGAGAUGGGCCUGUAGGUUUUAGCAUCUUGUUUGCUCCUUCCUUUAUGGUUAGGGCAUAUACCUUUUUUAGGAGGUUGGGAAGUUUACCACGUGCUUGGCUUGUCUAUUUUCAUAUUUUCCAGUGGAGAAGUAAAAACUUCAGAAUUGUUUUAGUGCUUCACCAGGUCUGCAGUUAGCAGCUUUUCUUUACCAAAUAGUGGCCCUAUCUUACAGCAGACUCCUUUGCCAACAUGUAGGAGGCUUUAGGAUUAAAAAAAAUUUUUUAACUGCCCAGGUUUCUCUUCUCUACAGGUGAUUUUGAGUUUAUUUUUCCAUCUCGAAGAGUUCCUCUGUCAUGUAGGAUUUUACACUGUCAUUAAGGUAGAUUUUUAGGCCAGUCUUGCUGGAGUAUGUUUUUCAAGUGACUUCCAUUCGGCAUUACAGAAGUUAAGGCUAGAUAGGGUUUGAGAGCCAUCUAUGUGGAGUCUUUAGUUAAUUCUGGGCCAUACAUUGUCACUUCCAUCAUGAUAUGGUCUGAGAAUGCUGUUGGUGAUAUAUUUGCAUUCUGGAUAAUUUCUGAAUAGUUUGUAAAACAGAGGUCAAGGAUAUUUAUGUUCCUGGUUGGAGACUACGAUCUAUUCCAUGAAUAGAAUUUUUGUAUAUGUUUUCCUUUUUUUUUUUUUUUUUUUUUUGGUAGUUUCAGCUCAGAGCUGCUUCUAUGCUGGAGCACUGCCGUUUUGCUACACAGUUAUUGAGAGCGUCCUCCAAUAUAUGGCAUUUGGUGAAUAAGAGUUUGAUGUCGCUACUGGGAUUUGCACCUCUUCUUGGGAGGUAGGUUCAUCUGGGACUCUCGACAGGAAGAGGUGCAGUUUUGAUUUGAAAACCCCUACAUCCACUGCCUUGGGAGAAUGUUUGUGUGUGCGGGGGCCUCGAGCCAUUUUAAGAUCCACAAAGAGCAAAACUUAUCUGCUGCUCUUGGUGGUCCAAAUAAUAGGUGCAAUCUAUGUGCGUGUCUUUCCAGAGCAUUGUCUGGUUU
Molecule: long non-coding RNA, 1523 nt
Organism: Octopus sinensis (East Asian common octopus)
Lineage: Eukaryota; Metazoa; Mollusca; Cephalopoda; Octopoda; Octopodidae
Exons: 2
Source: RefSeq, a predicted model, not a curated record